Panicum virgatum (switchgrass) is the source of this 448-nucleotide long non-coding RNA. RefSeq lists it as uncharacterized. NCBI's taxonomy places the organism in Eukaryota, Viridiplantae, Streptophyta, Magnoliopsida, Poales, Poaceae. The transcript is spliced from 3 exons. The record is from RefSeq and is a predicted model, not a curated record.
AGCAAGUUAUUGUUUUGUUUCAAGAAUUGAUUUGCUUUCUUUUUUUUUAAGAUUCGGUGGUAUUUGUCGAUGCACUGGUCUUCCUUGACCUCUGCGGUUGAGCUCGAGUUCAGGCCCUCCCUAGCUUAUGGCAGGAGCAGCUCGGCUUAGUGACGCAGCAUCAGUAGCUUAUGCCCAGGUGUCUCACCAAGUUUGGGCCAUAAAUGAACCCAUUUGCUGCUGGGAUUUACGCGUUUGGCAUCAAAGUCCCAGCUGUUGAAAAAAUUGAAUAUAGAUGAUCAUGAUGACCUGCUUGUUGACAACAUCUACAUGGCUAAUGGAGGUGAUGCCAUUCCUCGGCCUGAUCCGCACAACCAAAUGUCAAUAUUUAGUAUUGUUUUUACUGCAUAUCUAUUUUGUUUAAUUGAACCUGCUGUACAGUCAAUGCUUUAGCAAAUGAUUUACCACA